This 71-nucleotide transfer RNA is filed under the name Acanthocystis turfacea Chlorella virus Canal-1. RNAcentral's name for it is "tRNA-Thr". It matches the Rfam family "tRNA". Rfam says of the family: Transfer RNA (tRNA) molecules are approximately 80 nucleotides in length. Their secondary structure includes four short double-helical elements and three loops (D, anti-codon, and T loops). Further hydrogen bonds mediate the characteristic L-shaped molecular structure. tRNAs have two regions of fundamental functional importance: the anti-codon, which is responsible for specific mRNA codon recognition, and the 3' end, to which the tRNAs corresponding amino acid is attached (by aminoacyl-tRNA synthetases). tRNAs cope with the degeneracy of the genetic code in two manners: having more than one tRNA (with a specific anti-codon) for a particular amino acid; and 'wobble' base-pairing, i.e. permitting non-standard base-pairing at the 3rd anti-codon position. Lineage: Varidnaviria; Bamfordvirae; Nucleocytoviricota; Megaviricetes; Algavirales; Phycodnaviridae. The record is from RNAcentral.
GCUCCUAUAGCUCAGCGGUAGAGCGCGACUUUAGUAAGGUCGAGGUCCAUGGUUCAACCCGUGUGGGAGCA